GCAAAUCGAGUCUUGAUCGGACGGCUACGCCCUCGAUCUAAUAAGUUGCUCCCUUCGGGUGACCGGAAGAUGAGAUAGGAUACAGACAAAUAAAUUUUGACGUACAAAUAGCUUUCUGUUUUUUUAUCUUUAAAAAAAGAAAAAUCUUAUCUUAAUCCCUCUAAAUCUAAUACUGCGGUGCGGUGCAGAGUAGCAAGCCCUCUCCUCUAUAUAAACCACACUGCUUUUCCUUACCUCUGUCUUGACCUCGGGCGGUAGGAGUCCUUUCUUUAUCGAUGUCUCCUCCUCGGUCCAGUAAAAUCCAGAAAAAGAGACCGUAAAUUUCGUCUUUUUAACUCUCUCUCUCUCUCUCUCUCG
This 357-nucleotide long non-coding RNA is filed under the name Phoenix dactylifera (date palm). RNAcentral describes it as "long non-coding RNA (PDAC_LNC020515)". The record is from RNAcentral. Lineage: Eukaryota; Viridiplantae; Streptophyta; Magnoliopsida; Arecales; Arecaceae.